UACGUAGGCAGCAAGCGUUGUUCGGAAUUACUGGGCGUAAAGAGUGUGUAGGCGGUGCUCUAAGUUCGGUGUGAAAUCUCCCGGCUUAACUGGGAGGGUGCGCCGGAAACUGGAGUGCUCGAGCGUGGGAGAGGAAAGCGGAAUUCCUGGUGUAGCGGUGAAAUGCGUAGAUAUCUGCAGGAACACCCGUGGCGAAAGCGGCGAGCUGGAUCACUACUGACGCUGAAGAACGAAAGCUAGGGGAGCAAACAGG
RNAcentral lists this ribosomal RNA (253 nucleotides) under uncultured bacterium. RNAcentral describes it as "partial 16S ribosomal RNA". It matches the Rfam family "Bacterial small subunit ribosomal RNA", at positions 524 to 776 of the family's 1533-position model. The record is from RNAcentral.